GUGCUUGCUUCAAGCAGCACAUAUGCUAAAAUUGCAACAGUACAGAGAGGAUUAGUGUGGCCCCUGUGCAUAGAUGACAUGCAAAUUUGCGAAGCAUUACAUUUCUUA
RNAcentral lists this small nuclear RNA (108 nucleotides) under Saimiri boliviensis boliviensis (Bolivian squirrel monkey). The record is from RNAcentral. Lineage: Eukaryota; Metazoa; Chordata; Mammalia; Primates; Cebidae.